CAGAAAGCGUUUUAUUAACAUGAAAGGUUCCUACUUUAGACACCAUCGAUGGAGUAUCAUUAUCAGUCAGAAAGACAUAAAACUACAUCUCGCAGUAAAGUAAUUGUAUUGAGAGUUUGAUGAAUCGUCAUCACCGCAUAAAUUACAGGUAUUAAAAGAAUGAUGAUCCCAAUGAAUUAAACAAGUAACCCGGACAGAAGAUUUUUAAAAUGCAUGUCAAAAUCACUUUAAACUCUACAUACCUAAACACUCUCACAAGACGUCUUAAGAAGUCAUCCCAAAUAAUAAUCAGGGAAAAAUGCACAUCACAGCAGCGGCAAUCAUCAGCAAAGUGAAAAAUAACUUUGAUCUAUCUCCCAUGAUCGACGCAGCAAAAGAAGAGAUAUCUUGUGGUUUCUGCAUAUAGCUGAGAGCACCACAAAACAGUGCAUUGUCUGGCAGGGGCAACUCAGUUUUGUUAGUCGCCUCUGGAUUCACAACUCUGACAUAUGUUUCUUGGCCAAGAUACCAUGAGUCGAGGUUUUCUGUUCUGAGGUUCCAGACUCCAACAUUGUCAAGUGACACCAAAAUUGCUGUCCAUGCUCCAGGAUAAACCUGUAUCGUGGAUCGUGCAAUGCCAUCCCAUUUGUUAUAUGUGCCCCUGCUAUUCUCUGUCCAUUCACCAUAGUCCAUCCCAACAACAAAAAAUGCAUAUCCACUCAUGUGAUAGCUCUGCAUCUUUGUAUCAUUAUUCUGCAGAAUGACUUCCAUAAAACCUCUAUAUGUUCCAUUAAUUACUGAUGUUUCCAUUUUAGGUGGCCCUUCAAGUGGCUUACUAGGGAAAUCAAGCUUGUAUACUCCUUUCACUUUGAAUUGAUCUGCAAGCCUGAUUGGAGUGGAAGGAUUGACAAAUGAUAUCCCACUCAAAGUCGUCCGCUUUUUUCCAUUAAUUGUCACUGGUGGCUUAUUCCUCAACACAUAAACUUCAGUUACAUUGAUUGACCCAUAUCUAAAUGAACCUUGAGGAUUAGGACGCGCACCACUAGCAGAAACAUUCCAUCUGAUAGAUCUUGCCUGGUUCAUUGAAAAGGUUUUGUCAAACUCAUCGUUGGGUGCAUCCGGAAGGGGACCAUUUGCCUUCCCUUUGGAAUUUGUAUAGUGCAAGAUAGCAACACCAGUAACCCUUUUCCAUUGAGAUUCAUUCACAAACCUGGCGCUAGCUACAAUAUAGUAAUCAGAACUUGCAUUCUGAUCCAUGGUUACCAAGAAAGAAUAUGAUUGUCCUACAUGAAUAUCUAAGCUUGUAUAAUUCUGUUGUACUGUAUAUGAUCCCUCUGACUCUGCUAAAAGCAGGUUAUGGUUCUGGAUCCUGAAAUUCAAACUGGUUGAUGUUCCAACAUUGUGUACACGAAGGCGAUAGGUUUUUCCUGGGUUGACUUCAAUAGUUUCAUAGUCAAUGCCAUCAGGAACAAGUGUGGUGUUAUACUGGUAAGGACCUUUGCCAUUAAUAAGCACUCCAUCUGGCAUCCCAAGAUCUUUCCCUUCGUCAAGGACCUUUCUCAAAGCCGUAUGGUUUCUUUUGUACCAAUCGCCUAUCAAAAUGACAAUGUCGCCAUGUGGAGUAUCAAAAGGAAUUGGAAUAAUAGGCCGAUUAUUUAUAAUAAAGCUACCAAAUCCACCAGAGGCUCUUUGCAUAUGAAGAGAAGGGAAGUAAAAGAAACUCCCAAUCUGAUCCUUAACCUGAAACUGAUAAGUCCAGUUCCACUUUGGAGGAAUUGGACAGUUAGUGCCAGGAAGUCCAUCUUGCCAAGAACUUCUCCUUUGUUGAACUCCAGACCAAUGCAUGAGGAGAUUCUCGUCCAGUUUGUUUCUAACAUUGACGACGACAUUGUUGUUAGUGGUCACAUUUAUAUUAGGACCAGGAAACUUGCCAUUUAUAGCAAUAACCUGCAAAGCAAUGCAAAAGUAGAAGCAGUUACUUGAACCUCUGUAACAUUUCAACAUCAGCUACAAUCUCAUUAUACUAUACAGAAGAAGCUAAAACCACAGCAUUAAGCUUGAAUUAUCAAUGCAUAAGCAAGUUAGCAGAUCUGAAAUUACUGUAACUUGAGAGAAUCUAAAGCAAACCCAUUUUAAAAAAUAAAAAUCAAGCAGCCACGAAGUAGAGAAAAUCCAGUAAAAUCAGUAGAAAUGAGUAAAUAUAGAAAAAGAAAGCAAAAGACAGAGAGAUCUAGAGAAGAGACCUGCUGAGGCACACCAAGAGGAGAAGCAGUGAUAUAAGAGACCUCAAAAUCAUAGGUAACAGAAGGAUCUUCAGCGGAAGAGGAGGUCAGAAGCAGGCAAAUGUGGAUAAGAAAGAAAGCAGAGAACCUACACAAAGCCAUUUCUUUAAAACUCCUCUUUGGUGUUUCAACAGCACAAAAAAUUCAGAACCGAAUUCUUCACCAAGCUUUUUCUAGUAGUGUUUCACAUCAUCAGAAAGAGAAAAGGAAGAGGAAGAAGGAAGGAGGAGAAGCAGAAGAAACCAGAGGAGAUGUAGACAGAGAAAUUGCGAGUGCA
This 2538-nucleotide unclassified non-coding RNA is filed under the name Hevea brasiliensis (rubber tree). The record is from RNAcentral. Lineage: Eukaryota; Viridiplantae; Streptophyta; Magnoliopsida; Malpighiales; Euphorbiaceae.